AUUGAACGCUGGCGGCAGGCCUAACACAUGCAAGUCGAGCGGAUGAAGGGAGCUUGCUCCUGGAUUCAGCGGCGGACGGGUGAGUAAUGCCUAGGAAUCUGCCUGGUAGUGGGGGAUAACGUCCGGAAACGGGCGCUAAUACCGCAUACGUCCUGAGGGAGAAAGUGGGGGAUCUUCGGACCUCACGCUAUCAGAUGAGCCUAGGUCGGAUUAGCUAGUUGGGGGGGUAAAGGCCUACCAAGGGGACGAUCCGUAACUGGUCUGAGAGGAUGAUCAGUCAAACUGGAACUGGAAAACGGGCCGAACCCCUAAGGGAGGCAGCAGUGGGGAAUAUUGGACAAUGGGCGAAAGCCUGAUCCAGCCAUGCCGCGUGUGUGAAGAAGGUCUUCGGAUGGUAAAGCACUUUAAGUGGGGAGGAAGGGCAGUAAGUUAAUACCUUGCUGUUUUGACGUUACCAACAGAAUAAGCACCGGCUAACUUCGUG
This 484-nucleotide ribosomal RNA is filed under the name uncultured bacterium. RNAcentral describes it as "partial 16S ribosomal RNA". It matches the Rfam family "Bacterial small subunit ribosomal RNA", at positions 30 to 507 of the family's 1533-position model. The record is from RNAcentral.